UUGCUAGCCUGCACCGAGGCUGGGCCGCCCGCCCGCGAGGCUGCGGGGUGCUCGCGCGAGGCUGGGGCUGCCGGGGCCGGCACGCCCACUAGGCUGUGGCUUGCCUGCGCGCCCGCGAGGCUGUGUGGGUGGCCUGCCUGCGCGCCCGUGUGGCCGCGGCUACCCACGUCGGAGGCGCGCAUCCGGCUCUCACCUGCGCUGGAGCGUGCCUGCACGCGUCGUGGCUCCCGUGCCGAAACGCUGUCAUGGCCGGGGCUACGCCUGGCCGGAGUGCUAGCCGAGCCCGCGCUAGUGCCCGUAGCCAACCAAAGUCACGCCAUCCGAGAGCGCCUCCGCGUCGUGCGCCUGACCGGAUCCGCCAAGGACUGCGCGCUAGUGUCGUGCCCGCGGCCAGGUCGCGUUGCCGCGCCCGCGUCGAGCCAGGUUCGGCCGCGUCGGGUCUCCGCGCUCAGGAGGCCGAGCGCCCCUGCCCGCCAGGGCUUCCAAGCGCCUGCACGCCGCCAGGGCGCGGAUCCAGCCCACGUCAAGCCGCUCCCAGCGCUUGCGCGCUGCCAGGGCGGAGCGGAUCCGACCGUGCUGAGGACCCACGCUGGGGGUCGCGCUCGCGGCCAGCAGCCCGCGGCCGGUCGGGCAUCCCGCUGUCCUUGCGCGCGCUAG
Molecule: unclassified non-coding RNA, 657 nt
Filed under: Zea mays
Lineage: Eukaryota; Viridiplantae; Streptophyta; Magnoliopsida; Poales; Poaceae
Description: misc RNA Zm00001eb001750
Source: RNAcentral